This 437-nucleotide ribosomal RNA is filed under the name Prorocentrum minimum. Its description in RNAcentral is "partial Eukaryotic large subunit ribosomal RNA". It matches the Rfam family "Eukaryotic large subunit ribosomal RNA", at positions 1 to 436 of the family's 3401-position model. Lineage: Eukaryota; Dinophyceae; Prorocentrales; Prorocentraceae. The record is from RNAcentral.
GCCUCAACUCAGAGAAGGCGACCCGCUGAACUUAAGCAUAUCAAUAAGCGGAGGAAAAGAAACCAACAGGGAUUGCCUCAGUAACGGCGAGUGAAGCGGCAAGAGCUCAAAUUUGAAAUCUGGCUCCUUCGGGGUCCGAGUUGUAAUUUGUAGAGGAUGCUUCGGGUGCGGCCCCCGUCUAAGUGCUCUGGAACGGGCCAUCGGAGAGGGUGAAAAUCCCGUCUGGGACGGGGUGUCCGCGUCCAUGUGAAGCUCCUUCGACGAGUCGAGUUGUUUGGGAAUGCAGCUCUAAAUGGGUGGUAAAUUUCAUCUAAAGCUAAAUACUGGCCGGAGACCGAUAGCGCACAAGUAGAGUGAUCGAAAGAUGAAAAGCACUUUGAAAAGAGAGUUAAACAGCACGUGAAAUUGUUGAAAGGGAAGCGCUUGCGACCAGACUC